Non-coding RNA from Paramuricea clavata, 214 nucleotides. The record is from the annotation of a GenBank genome assembly. Lineage: Eukaryota; Metazoa; Cnidaria; Anthozoa; Malacalcyonacea; Plexauridae.
CCAUUCUGGGAUAUCUCCUAAUGAUCAGAGUUGUCAAGUCAUUGUUUGAGGAACUUGUUGAAAGAAAAAAUGCUCCACUUAAGUACAUAAUUACUUACACGUUUACCCAAGAUUACCUUCAGUUAUUUGUCUGUGCUAUAAGUGCACUAAAUGGAAGAAAUAACAACCCAACAUUCAACCAAUUUAAGGCUGCAUAUAGAAGACUACUCAAUCU